CUGCGCGCCUUCAGCGGUAGAAAAUGACCAAACCAACCCUGAAUCGUACGACAUCAUGAAAAUAGUUCAACUAAGAUUCCGAUGUCGUCUUCAAUUUCAAAGCCUCUCUCUCCAAGACCUCCUGUCCUUAUCAUAACUGAAGGGGAACGCGAGAAGGCCUAGUGUUAGUAUCGUAAUUCAAAGCCUAGUUGAGGGGUAAUUACGUAACAUUUGAGAGAGAACAGGCUUUCAGUUUCCUAACAGACAAAGGCACACGCUAUACAGCUAACAACCGAAGGGGAAAACAUGACCAAAUAACCAAUAACCUCCCCUUUUCUCUCUCUAGGCCACUCUCACUAGUUCACUAGUUCACUAGUUCGUUGGCCCCGAAGAGAAAAUGGAAGACGAGGCACAGAAAAUGGUGGCUCUGAAGAAGGCGUACGCGGAGAUUAUUCUGAACACAGCGAAGGAGGCAGCGGCCAGAGUAAUGGCGUCGGAGCACAAAGCUCUUCGCUUUCAGCUCGAUCUGCGUUCUACCAAAGACGAGUCGCUUCGCGUGCUUCUCCGCUUAAAGCAAAUGAUCGAUUCCAAGACAAGUGAAGCAGAGAUAACAUCCUCGAGCCAACAAAGAAGGAUUGAUGAGCUUGAAGCACAGCUCCAAGAGGCAGAGGAUAUCAUAACUGAUUUGAGAUCAGAGUUGAAACAAGUAUGGAGUGAGUUGGAGAGGGUAAAUAGCAACCAAGUGAAGCCUUUGGAUAGACAAAUCACAAGGGAAGACGCAUCAUUUUCCGAAAGUCCAACACCUGAGCCCAUCUUACUCUCUCGUCUAGGUUCAGGACAUGAAAUUGUUCCAACUUCUGGCCUGGACAACAUCCCAGUGAGUAGAGGUAUUGACCAUAAAUGCUGUAAUGACAUGAAACAAAGUGAGCAGUUGAGUGUUUCUGAUUUGGAUAAAUUUUACGCCCCUGACUCUGACCUUGCGUCAAUAAUCAUGGGAAGUAAAGAGCCUGAGCUGCUCAGAAAUGGUUGUACACAAAGAAUUCGUGCUUUUGAAAGAAAUUUACUUGAUGAAAAGGUGCUGCCUUCUGGAUAUGUAGACAAUCACAUUUCCCACGGGAAGAAUGAGUUGGGCACCAAAGCAAGUGACAAGGAGGAAGGAAACUGCAAUCCCCCCUCUAUUAGGGACAACAGGAUGGAAGUAAUUAAUAACCCAUGUGUGGGAGAAACCAAAAAGCCUUCUAAAGUCCGCACAUUAAGAAGACGAAAGACUCGAUUUGGGAAAGCCAAAACCUCGAGCCAAUAUUGUCCUAGUGAGCUUAUGAAAUCUCGGCAACCAACUUCAGUCAAUGAAAAUGAUAGAUCCCAUGAAGAUGCAUGCAUCCAACCCUCUGUCAAAGCUGGCAAUGUAGGCGUGACAAGAACUCCCGGUGGGUUGGAAGAAAGUUUGCAGCACAGUAGCCGUUGUUAUACGGACGAAGUUAAGACCAUUCGGAAGGGAAAAAGAAAAAGGAAAAUGAAUGGUAAGAAUGGCAUUACUACCUCAACUGGUCAGCUUACGAAACCUGGUCAGCCGUCUUCUGUUCUUUCACGCUGCAGGACUUUUGCCUAUUUAGGUAAUGGUGGUGUUAAAUCAUACGAAGAUCGACCAAACACGACCCAGAAUGAGGCAAGGAUGAAGGCAUUUCCCCGUCUGGAUCAUGGGUUGACAUUAAUUAGAAGUGAUAUGGAUCCUAUAUCAGGGUCAACAAGUGUUACUGUGAGUAUGAAGCAGAUUAAUGAAGCUGAAGCUGGCGAGAAUGCUGCAGACAAGGACAUGGAAUUGAUAGAUGUGCCUGUGUUGAUAUUGCAGGAAAGUGAUAUUGUGGAGAAUUCAGAGGCUCCAAGUUCUGAAUUUGACCAUGCUACUGCUGAUCUAUCAUUGAUGAAUUCUGAACUAAAAGAUGUAAAUGUAUCAUUGAUGAAUUCUGAAUCAAAAGAUGUGAGAGUAUCAUUAAUGAAUUCUGAAUUAAAAGACGUGAAAGCAUCAGAAAAAUCAAAUAGAUCUCCUAGUCAUGCAGACAACGGUAGACUUCUCAAAUACACUUUCCAGAGGAAGCGCAAGAAUUCCUCAAGAAACCCUGGUCAAAAAUCUUCUUUUGAAGGGAGCACUUCUAAGAGGAGGAUGGAAGAGAGCGAAUGCAUUGUACAAGAGCCGCAGAUGAUGAACGAAUCUUCUAGGGACAACCGGCGACUGGCUCAGGUUGCUCGACAGCUCAUAUCCUUAUCUGGGAAAAAAUGGUCUUAACAAUGAUGGCUUCUGCUAUCUAACGAGUGUUAAGUUGGAUACGAUGGACCAUCGAACUGAUUUUUGAGAGAUGAUUUUCCAUAGAAAUUGGACGAGCAGCUGGCUGCAUUGCAUCAGGGGAGAGAGUUGACACCUCCCCAUUCCUGUCAAAAUUUCUCCUUUCGAAUAGAAAUGCUGCCUCUCUCACUUAUCCUUUCCGGGUUUUCAGUAAGCUCUAGUUUGGUUCACAUUUUUAGAAGUGAAGCAUAUUUCAAGCUGAUGCUUAUAAUCUUGUUAUUUCUCAUUCAUUCUCAUAGCACAGCAAACGGUUCAAACGAGUCACCAUGUAAACAAAUCAUUUUUAUAGAAGAAAUAAGACAAUUCACAGAAUGAAUUUAACAAAUAAUAA
Molecule: RNA transcript, 2651 nt
Organism: Prunus avium (sweet cherry)
Lineage: Eukaryota; Viridiplantae; Streptophyta; Magnoliopsida; Rosales; Rosaceae
Source: RefSeq, a predicted model, not a curated record